UGAGUAACACGUGGGUGAUCUGCCCUGCACUUUGGGAUAAGCCUGGGAAACUGGGUCUAAUACCGAAUAGGACCGCGCUCUUCAUGGGGUGUGGUGGAAAGCUUUUGCGGUGUGGGAUGGGCCCGCGGCCUAUCAGCUUGUUGGUGGGGUAAUGGCCUACCAAGGCGACGACGGGUAGCCGGCCUGAGAGGGUGACCGGCCACACUGGGACUGAGAUACGGCCCAGACUCCUACGGGAGGCAGCAGUGGGGAAUAUUGCACAAUGGGCGCAAGCCUGAUGCAGCGACGCCGCGUGAGGGAUGACGGCCUUCGGGUUGUAAACCUCUUUCAAUAGGGACGAAGCGCAAGUGACGGUACCUAUAGAAGAAGGACCGGCCAACUACGUGCCAGCAGCCGCGGUAAUACGUAGGGUCCGAGCGUUGUCCGGAAUUACUGGGCGUAAAGAGCUCGUAGGUGGUUUGUCGCGUUGUUCGUGAAAACUCACAGCUUAACUGUGGGCGUGCGGGCGAUACGGGCAGACUAGAGUACUGCAGGGGAGACUGGAAUUCCUGGUGUAGCGGUGGAAUGCGCAGAUAUCAGGAGGAACACCGGUGGCGAAGGCGGGUCUCUGGGCAGUAACUGACGCUGAGGAGCGAAAGCGUGGGGAGCGAACAGGAUUAGAUACCCUGGUAGUCCACGCCGUAAACGGUGGGUACUAGGUGUGGGUUUCCUUCCUUGGGAUCCGUGCCGUAGCUAACGCAUUAAGUACCCCGCCNNGGGGAGUACGGGCCGCAAGGCUAAAACUCAAAGGGAAUUGACGGGGGGCCCGCACAA
This 813-nucleotide ribosomal RNA is filed under the name Mycobacterium sp. Its description in RNAcentral is "bacterial SSU rRNA". It matches the Rfam family "Bacterial small subunit ribosomal RNA", at positions 107 to 928 of the family's 1533-position model. The record is from RNAcentral. Lineage: Bacteria; Bacillati; Actinomycetota; Actinomycetes; Mycobacteriales; Mycobacteriaceae.